AUUGUGCUUUUGCUAGCAUGGACGUCUGUUUAAAGUGCGUUUCUUGUAAACACGCUAUAUCUGGGCGUGACCUACGCAGGUCUCUGGUAAGACAAUACCUCUUCACUGGGGUAUUCAACCCCUUAACAUUGUGGUUGUAUAUUUUCAUGAUUUAAUGUAUGUUUUAUAUUGGUUCUGUUCGUCUGUGUACAAGUCCCCAUGAUGAGGUACCGGCCCUCCCAGGGGAUGCUGUG
Molecule: non-coding RNA, 233 nt
Organism: Pelobates cultripes (western spadefoot toad)
Lineage: Eukaryota; Metazoa; Chordata; Amphibia; Anura; Pelobatidae
Source: the annotation of a GenBank genome assembly